RNAcentral lists this antisense RNA (75 nucleotides) under Streptomyces albireticuli. Its description in RNAcentral is "ASpks TB sRNA". It matches the Rfam family "ASpks TB sRNA". Lineage: Bacteria; Bacillati; Actinomycetota; Actinomycetes; Kitasatosporales; Streptomycetaceae. The record is from Rfam by way of RNAcentral.
CUUGAAGGAGCCGAGCCAGAGCGGCUCGUCCCCGGCGCGCUCCUGACCGUAGGUGGCGAGGAGGGCCUGGGCCUC